Metopolophium dirhodum (rose-grain aphid) is the source of this 1333-nucleotide long non-coding RNA. RefSeq lists it as uncharacterized. The record is from RefSeq and is a predicted model, not a curated record. The transcript has 2 exons. NCBI's taxonomy places the organism in Eukaryota, Metazoa, Arthropoda, Insecta, Hemiptera, Aphididae.
GUGCUGGCAGCGAUGACUAGUCAAAGGACGCAUCACCGACAGAAUCAGCAGAUACCACAUGCAGCGGAGUGACCGUGCUACAAACAUCGGUGGUUACCGCGGCGACCGGCAGACAACCUCCUUAGUCAUAAAAUAGUAAUAAUAAUAAUAAUAAUAUCAUAUCGUGCGCUCACCAAGGCCAUACACAUGUAAACAUGACAAAUUUAAACAUAUAAACAUCCACAACUACGACCCACCUGCCCGGCACCCGUCUCGGUGCAGUGUGCCUGUUCGUCGGGAUCGGAACAGUGGCGAUCUCUCACCUCCGUUUGCCCGUCCGACCCUCGUACACGAUUUUCGUUAUUAUUAUUAUUAUUAUUAUUAUUAUUAUUAUUAUGUUUGUGGGGUGCAAACGAUGCCCGACCCGGAGUGGCGUACCUACCUUCCGGGGAUCUUCGUGGUCGGAAACAGGAUGCAGAGUCCUAGACUGGACGUUGCCGACCACCUGCAGUGGUGACGAUCAAUUUUCGGUGUCGGGACGGUACUCGAUGACUACGGCGGCCAUUGCUUCGGACAAACCGCGACGAUCUCAUCAUACGAUUGCUGUCAUUCCCCAUUAGUUAGCCACCCGUCCGGUGACGACAUUACGAUCAAUCACUGGAGUUGGCUAACCGAUGAAGAAUGUCGGUGAUAAAACCGACGAUAUUGCCUACCUACGAAAUGUAGGUGUUGCAGUUGAGUCUCGAUAGCUUGAACCUCGGUAAUAACCUCGAAAACCUCGAAUUUUUAUCUCACCCUUUGAAGUGUUUUUGAGUUCUUUUUGAAGUUUAUAACCCGAAUAAUAUACAAACCGAAUAUAUUUUUAUUCCCCCUUGAGAUUUGAGUUGUCGAGACUUGACUGUAUUAUUUUAUACAUAAUAUUUUAUUAUAAGAUAUAACAUUUUUAUAUGCCAGGUUGCAUGAACUCCAAUCAUAUUAAAAAUAACACUUUAAUGGAUCAAUAUAUAGUGAGCUAUUGGUCCAUUACAUUUUAGCGUACUACCAUUGUUAAAUUGAUCAAUUUUUAUGCGACCAGGAAAUAACUUAAUAUCAUAUUAUUAUAAAUGUAUAAUAUUAACCGCGGAUGAGAUUAUCCGAUUUUUUUUUUUAUUAUCCUCCUUUACCCUGCAGUAUACAUAUAUUAUAGAUUUAACUCCAAAAUGUAUUGAAACUUAAGUAUACUUAUCCAAUUAUUGUUUUAUUAUGUGACUUUCGCGUUUACUGUUAAAAUUUUAUUGUAAUAUUAUUAAAUUAUUUUCUUGUAUAGUUUAUGUAGUUAUAUAUUAUUAUACAAUAAAAGGUGUAACAAUCGUAA